Molecule: long non-coding RNA, 2699 nt
Filed under: Brassica napus (rape)
Lineage: Eukaryota; Viridiplantae; Streptophyta; Magnoliopsida; Brassicales; Brassicaceae
Description: long non-coding RNA (BNAP_LNC018439)
Source: RNAcentral
UGGCAUGAAGAAGUUAUCCCACUUUCAAAUCAGGUGAUUACAGUUUCCCAGUUUGGGAAUAGCACAACUUCUUCGUCGUUCCAAUCAAACCAGGAUGAAUCACUUUGUGAAAAGCUUGAUUUGGAUACAUAAAGUGGUGGAGAAUCACCAGGAAGUUGAAUAAAUCUCAUAGGAGUUGGCAUGAAGAAGUUAUCCCACUUUCAAAUCAGGUGAUUCCAGUUUCCCAGUUUGGGAAUUGCACAGCUUCUUCAUCGUUCUAAUCAAAACAGGAUGAACCACUUUGUAAGAAGCUUGAUUUGGAUACAUAAAGUGGUGGACAAUCACCAGGAAGUUGAAUAAAUCUCAUAGGAGUUGGCAUGAAGAAGUUAUCCCACUUUCAAAUAACAUGAUUCCAGUUUCCCAGUUUGGGAAUAACACAGCUUCUUCGUCGUUCCAAUCAAACCAGGAUGAAUCACUUUGUGAAAAGCUUGAUUUGGAUACAAAAAGUGGUGGAGAAUCACCAAGAAGUUUAAUAAAUCUAAUAGAAGUUGGGAUGAAGAAGUUAUCUCACUUUCAAAUCAGGUGAUUCCAGUUUCCCAGUUUGGGAAUAGCACAGCUUCUUCGUCGUUCCAAUCAAACCAGAAUGAAUCACUUUGUGAAAAGCUUGAUUUGGAUACAUAAAGUGGUGGAGAAUCACCAGGAAGUUGAAUAAAUCUCAUAGGAGUUGGCAUAAAGAAGUUAUCCCACUUUCAAAUCAGGUGAUUCCAGCUUUCAAGUUUGGGAAUAGCACAGAUUCUUCAUCCUUCCAAUCAAACCAGGUUGAAUCACUUUGUGAAAAGCUUGAUUUGGAUACAUAAAGUGGUGGAGAAUCACCAGGAAGUUGAAUAAAUCUCAUAGGAGUUGGCACGAAGAAGUUAUCCCACUUUCAAAUCAGGUGAUUCCAGCUUUCAAGUUUGGGAAUAGCAUAGCUUCUUCAUCGUUCCAAUCAAACCAGGAUGAAUCACUUUGUGAAAAGCUUGAUUUGGAUACAAAAAGUGGUGGAGAAUCACCAGGCAGUUUAAUAAACCCAUAGGAGUUGGGAUGAAGAAGUUAUCCCAUUUUCAAAUAACGUGAUUCCAGUUUUCCAGUUUGGGAAUAGCACAGCUUGUUCGUCGUUUCAUCAAACCAGGAUGAAUCACUUUGUAAGAAGCUUGAUUUUGAUACAUAAAGUGCUGGAGAAUCACCAGGAAGUUGAAUAAAUCUCAUAGGAGUUGGCAAGAAGAAGUUAUCCCACUUUCAAAUCAGGUGAUUCCAGUUUCCCAGUUUGGGAAUAGCACAGCUUCUUCAUCGUUCCAAUCAAACCAGGAUGAAUCACUUUGUGAAAAGCUUGAUUUGGAUACAAAGAGUGGUGGAGAAUCACCAGGAAGUUUAAUAAAUCUCAUAGGAGUUGGGAUGAAGAAGUUAUCCCACUUUCAAAUCAGGUGAUUCCAGCUUUCAAGUUUGGGAAUAGCACAGCUUCUUCAUCGUUCCAAUCAAACCAGGAUGAAUCACUUUGUGAAAAGCUUGAUUUGGAUACAAAAAGUGGUGGAGAAUCACCAGGAAGUUUAAUAAACCCAUAGGAGUUGGGAUGCAGAAGUUAUCUCACUUUCAAAUAACGUGAUUCCAGUUUCUCAGUUUGGGAAUAGCACAGCUUCUUCGUCGUUCCAAUCAAACCAGGAUGAAUCACUUUGUAAGAAGCUUGAUUUAGAUACAUAAAGUGGUGGAGAAUCACCAGGAAGUUGAAUAAAUCUCAUAGGAGUUGGCAGGAAGAAGUUAUCCCACUUUCAAAUCAGGUGAUUCCAGUUUCCCAGUUUGGGAAUAGCACAGCUUGUUCGUCGUUCCAAUCAAACGAGGAUGAAUCACUUUGUAAGAAGCUUGAUUUGGAUACAUAAAGUGGUGGAGAAUCACCAAGACUAGGACAGGAGAUCAACUACUGGAUUCAGCUUCUGCACUAGAGCAUGACACCACCUUCUGUUUCUUACUCUUCCAAGUCACCAACUUGCCUCCAAUGAAUGUGCAAUAGCCGGUUGUUGAUCUUCUGUCAGCUCUAUCACCUGCUGCACAGCUUCUUCGUCGUUCCAAUCAAACCAGGAUGAAUCACUUUGUGAAAAGCUUAAUUUGGAUACAAAAAGUGGUGGAGAAUCACCAGGAAUUUUAAUAAAUCUCAUAGGAGUUGGGAUGAAGAAGUUAUCCCACUUUCAAAUCAGGUGAUUCCAGUUUCCUAGUUUGGGAAAAGCACAGCUUCUUCGUCGUUCUAAUCAAAACAGGAUGAAUCACUUUGUAAGAAGCUUGAUUUGGAUACCUAAAGUGGUGGAGAAUCACCAGGAAGUUGAAUAAAUCUCAUAGGAGUUGGCAUGAAGAAGUUAUCCCACUUUCAAAUCAGGUGAUUCCAGUUUCCCAGUUUGGGAAUAGCACAGCUUCUUCGUCGUUCUAAUCAAACCAGGAUGAAUCACUUUGUAAGAAUCUUGAUUUGGAUACAUAAAGUAGUGGAGAAUCACCAGGAAGUUGAAUAAAUCUCAUAGGAGUUGGCAUGAAGAAGUUAUCCCAUUUUCAAAUCAGGUGAUUCCAGUUUCCCAGUUUGGGAAUAGCACAGCUUCUUCGUCGUUCCAUUCAAACCAGGAUGAAUCACUGAAAGAUUAAGAGAAUGAAAUGAUUUAGAGAAGAUUAAGGAACAGAAUGAGAGAUUAUGAAGAGAUUAGACU